AUGGCGUGGUUGAAUUGGGAUAAGUUAAGGCUACCAAAGAAUAAAGGAGGUAUGGGAUUCAGAGACAUGCGAGCUUUCAACUAAGCUUUAUUGCCUAAGCAAGCAUGGAGAUUAAUUGAUGCUCCUGCAAGUUUAUCUGCUCGUUUGUUAAAGGCGAAAUAUUAUCCGAAUGGUAGCAUUCUUGAUACCGUGUUUACAGGACACUCUUCGGCUGUUUGGAAGGGCAUAGUGCAUGGGUUGGAACUUGUCAAAAAAGGUAUAAUUUGGCGAAUUGGUGAUGGGGCCUCGGUCAGGACAUGGAGGGACCCCUGGAUCCCUCGACGAUUUGAUUUUUGUCCCAUUACUCCUCAGAGGAAUUGUCGUUUUAACCGUGUUUCUAUUUUUUUAGAAAGUGGUGCAUGGAUCAUUGAUUGCCUUAAGAAACAUUUCUGGCCAAUGGACGUUGUCGAAAUUCUCGAAAUUUGAACUUCGCCUAGGAACAUAAGCGAUUUCAUUGGGUGGUUUCUUGAAUCACACGACAUGUUUACGGUCAAAUCGGCCUAUCGUUUGGCAACAGAAGCACAUGAUGUAGUGCAUGCUAGUGGCGCAAGUAGCACAAGUCCGGAUGGUGUGCGUACAAUCUGGAGCAAUAUUUGGAAUUCACAUGUUCCCCUAAAAAUGUGGAUUAUGGCAUGGAGGACAACGUCGGGGUCAUUGGCCACUAAUUUGGCUAAUAACCAGUGA
Molecule: ribosomal RNA, 723 nt
Filed under: Triticum aestivum (bread wheat)
Lineage: Eukaryota; Viridiplantae; Streptophyta; Magnoliopsida; Poales; Poaceae
Description: partial small subunit ribosomal RNA
Source: RNAcentral